UGCUAAAAAGUCCAGGUUUUG
Caenorhabditis elegans is the source of this 21-nucleotide non-coding RNA. The record is from Ensembl. Lineage: Eukaryota; Metazoa; Nematoda; Chromadorea; Rhabditida; Rhabditidae.